Molecule: small RNA, 92 nt
Filed under: Arabidopsis thaliana (thale cress)
Lineage: Eukaryota; Viridiplantae; Streptophyta; Magnoliopsida; Brassicales; Brassicaceae
Description: ATSL164150
Source: RNAcentral
UUUUUAAAGACUUUAUGAUCCAUUUGCCGUGGGUCCUACCAGCUAUGUAGAAAUACCCUAUCUUCUUUAUAAGAGCUUUCAUUCACGCAAAA